Molecule: ribosomal RNA, 164 nt
Filed under: uncultured bacterium
Lineage: Bacteria
Description: partial 16S rRNA
Rfam family: Bacterial small subunit ribosomal RNA
Source: RNAcentral
UAGGGAAUCUUCGGCAAUGGACGAAAGUCUGACCGAGCAACGCCGCGUGAGUGAAGAAGGUUUUCGGACCGUAAACUCUGUUGGUAGAGAAGAACGUUGGUGAGAGUGGAAAGCUCAUCAAGUGACGGUAACUACCCAGAAAGGGACGGCUAACUACGUGUCAG